Molecule: ribosomal RNA, 399 nt
Filed under: Triticum aestivum (bread wheat)
Lineage: Eukaryota; Viridiplantae; Streptophyta; Magnoliopsida; Poales; Poaceae
Description: partial small subunit ribosomal RNA
Source: RNAcentral
AUGCUGGCCAGCAAAUGCCAACACAGUCAUCACCAUGCUUGUGUCGAUGCAGCUGCACAAUGCGUUCUGGCAAAUCAACUUGAGUUUCUUGAGGUUAUACCUAUCUGCCGCGACAAACAAAAGUUGAGCCAUCUCCAUGGAUUCGCCAUCGUCUAUCUCGGGCAACGAAUCGGUGUAGAUAAAGUGAAGCAUGGCCUUGAAGACCCUUGGUUCCAUGUCAUGGAUCCGUAUACAUGUGGUGUCAGACUCCUUGAACAAAAGAGACUGCGCCAUGAACACGGAAGACCGAGCAGCGAGCAGGCACCAAUGAGCAGCAUACGUGCUGCCGCGGACCUCGAAAGUCACAUCCGCCGCCUCGCCGGUCGCAAGGAUACGGGCAAGUUGCUCAUGCAUGUCUGA